Long non-coding RNA from Numida meleagris (helmeted guineafowl), 7130 nucleotides. RefSeq lists it as uncharacterized. The record is from RefSeq and is a predicted model, not a curated record. The transcript is spliced from 4 exons. Lineage: Eukaryota; Metazoa; Chordata; Aves; Galliformes; Numididae.
UUCAUUUCUGUUGCCACUUGUUAAAUAAAUGAUAAUUGUUCCUGUGGAUCAAUUCAUUUCUGAAAGGCUCGUGCAGAUGGGAAUUUCAAAUUAUUGAUAUCAUAAUGAAAAAAUCUUAAGUUACUGCAUGCUCUGUGUUAGUGUAUUUCAGCAAUCUCUUCUAUGAGAAAUGUUUCGAUAAGAUCUCUUGGUGCUGUUCCCAGAACAUGGUUCAUGUGAUAUCAAAGAAUCCUAUUGUUUUGCUAGGGACCUUUUUGUCAUUGGGAAUUUGGACACUGGAUUUGCAUAGGGUUGACUAAGGCCAGAAUACAAAGACAAAGAUUCUGUGCCGUCUGUUCCGGAAGUCCAUCUUCUGUCAAAGGCCACUGUAUUUCUUCAUCUACAAAAAUUAGCGACCCGAGCUACCUGAGAAGUGGGAAUUCUGUCUAUACUCACUGUAGUACUAAGUAGCAUCGUUGUCUCUCUAGACAUCACACAAGGCCAGUGGACUUCACCUUUCUUUUUCAUCUGUGACCCAUAAAUUUUCUCCAUUGGCCAGACAGUCCUGGGGGAACUGAAGAACUUUGGAGACCGGAGAAAAAGGUAAAACAAGAAAUGGGAGAAGUGCAGCUUGCAAGUAAAAAACAUAAUGCCAUUGAUCAGUGACAGCUUAGUGGAGAUGAGAAGGUGAGAACAUCCUAAUACGUCAUAUUUUGCUUUUAUUAAAACUUAUAUUUGCAUUUUCUUGCAAGUGUGCUAAAUUUAGAUCAGAUGAAGUAAGUGGGAUUACGCUCUGUCUUCUAUUUCCUUGUAUUUAUAAUUACAUUUAUUGAAAUCUGCUGCACUGUAGGUGCUAGAAUACAAAUAACUAAAAAUAUCGUUGUUAAGACAAAAUGAUAAAAAAAAAAUUAUAUCGCAUAAUGAAACAAAUUGAUUUAGCAUUUGGUACGAUGUAGAUAAUUUUUUUUAUAACAAGACACAAAAUUCACAGCAUAACAGUUUCUCUCAAAUCCCAAGGUAUUGCUCUGCUUACUGAUGGGAGGGUUAUGCAACACCUGUUAGAAUGCUGAGACACUGAUUCGUCCUACUUGGUAUUCUUCUUUUGUUUUGAUGUCGCCCUUUCUGUCUUGCUCUCCCUCCACAGUUUCCAUGACGAUCGGGUAUCAGGAAGUUCUUGAUUAGGCAAGUGUUUUAGGGUCACAGUCAUAAUUAAGUCGAUACCUUGAUUGCUUGAUUUUCUAAGUGGAAAUUCUUUUUUUUUUUUUCUUAAAGAUCAAAUUUUACUUUGUAUUAAAGACUUUUCAGCUUCAUUGUGUUGUAACCAGAAUGCCUUUUUUUCGAAAGAUUGCAAAACUUAUUAUCUUUGCUAUUUACUCUCAUCUGCAUAUACAAAAAUAUAUGUGCAUAUAUAAGUGGACUGUGAUUGCUUUGCUGUGACAGUUGCCCAUCUACUGUAUACAGUCUCAGCCCUGUGUUCGUUUCACAUUAUUUACCCUAAUAUUCUCAGUUGUUACUGCAGUGGAUCAACAGAUCAGCUGGAGAAGUUACAUGUACACAUUCAGUAAUUCAUACGUACAUAUGUGGAUACAUUAGAAAGGGCUUAUGCCUAGAGCUCUGUAUGUUUUUAAGGUUCCUUGACCAAUACCAGCCAUUUAACUACUCACAUAAAUAGAUACAUCCUUUUUUCAAUUCUUGGUGUAUACUUUUAAUUAGAUAUACAAUAAACAGUGUUGAUGCACUUCUGCAGAAUCUGCACAAAAGGUCUUGAGUUCGUGGAUGACUUGUCAGAGGUCUCCUAUCACAUACGCUGUCUCACUGUGUUCAGUUUACAAGCCCAUAUUCUUUAAAGUAACACAUCCAUCCCCUUUCAAUACAAUUCUGUCGUGACUUACAGAGGCCAGUACCUGGUGCUUCCCAGCUACAGUGAAGAAGGGAAAACUGACUAUCACACUGUUCAACCUAGAAAUUGGAACAGUAGGCAUUAUGUUUUGUAAGCUUAAAUGCACUGUUCAUGUUGAAAAGUGACUGCUAGAUGUAAUAUUUGUAAAAACAGCCAAGAGUUUGGAUUGCAGGUAUCUGCGUGAAACUGCUCAGAAAUGAUCAGCAAAGAAAGAAUUACAUACUGAACGUGUUCUCCUGUUGCUAAAAAUUCACGUACUCAUUUUGCCACUCAUUUUCUCUCCCACCAAAAAUUAGCAGUUAUGAAAAAUACUGUGAAACAUUCUUCCUGUGAUUCUUGAAUAAGUAGAAACCAAAGCACAGAAUUCAGGUUUGCUGCUUAGAAUACGUGAACAUCUGUCAUAUUUUCUGUGAGUGUGAAGAAUAUUACUAUUUUAUGAUUAAUUAAUUACCUAUGCACCUAGAAGAAAGCAGAGCUGGAUGUCCCUUUGAGAGGUCAUUUAUUUCAGCAGCUCCCAAGUUUAUUGUUAUAUUAUUUCCUUGGGAAGAGGAAGGUCAGUCUUCCACAUGGACUUUGUACCUCUAUGGUAGCAUAAUCUCCAACACAGUUCAGUUUCAGAUGAGGAAUAUGAGAAACGUGCAACAAGUCUCCAAUCAGCUGGCCAUUGGUGGUGCUCAAAAUAUGCCCUUAUGUGGAAUACACGUGGUGGCUUCACUCCCUUCCUGUCCUGGCUGAGAUUAAAUACAUUCUUCAAACAGCUUUCAGAGGGAACUUUCAGGAGAGAAGGCAGGAAAAGGGGAAAGAUCAGAUUAUAUUCUGCUGGAGCUUUGUAUGAGCCUCCAAGCAUAUGCCAGUACCCUCCCAUAGCUCACUCAAGAACUGCUGAUCAAAUCCAUUUCCCAUGCUGAAAGGCAGGAUCAGAUAUAAUUAAACCAAUGCUGACAUGUUUGUCUAGCUUAUGUUAUAGGAUCUUUGUAACUGGAGAUCUUUACUUUCCAAAAUAAUUUGUCAUUAUGAUUGGAUAAUGCUUUUUUUUUUUUCCUUAAUGUCUUUUUUAAAUCUUCAGUGGUCAGUGUGAAGGGCCAUGCAUUUUUGUACUUUUCACUUACAUUGUCCUUUUCCUCUCACAAGUAAACUUUCUCAUAACUGAGGACUACUGUUCACUUCAGUCCUCUUUUUUCUAAACUUUGUUCUGAAUUUAAUUAGAAGUUAAUGUCUUUUACACCUUUUUUCUUGUUGCUUAUUUGAACUCUAUCCACCAUUAAGUGUGGCUUACAAAACUGAAUAGAAGGUCUUAAAACAUGUCUUAAAGCAGCAUUCCUUGUUUCAUCUCCUUUAGCAAUGUCACAAAUUUAAUGACAUAGUUGUUGUCUUCUCUUCAAAUACUUUUUAAAAAAUUGUAAUUAAUACAUUAUAUUAAUCAAUCAUUAAAGAGCUUUUCCUGAAGACUAAUAUCAAAUUAAGGAUGGUGUUUUAUCCGACACACUUAAAAUGGCUAUUUUUUCUUAGCUUUAGGUUUAAAAAUGGUUGAAAAAUUAACCAAAUCUGUACCUCUUGGCGAUUACUGAUUAUUCUAGCAGAUUUUUGGAGUCAUGAUGGAAAACAGGUAAACUCCUGCAUAUGUUUGUGUUUUGUUAUUAUGUGUAUGGCACACUAUAAUUACUAGUUCAAAAUCCUCUAUUGAAUGACUCGCUCAGACAGGAAAAAAGUGAGGAAGCUGGCUAAUGCUGAUAAAGCUACUUCACAAAAUACAAAGAGUAAAUGAAUAGAUUUUGUGCUUCUUCUGGGGAAUAAAAGAUUUUGCACAAAUUACUGUGAGGUGUCUUUUCAAUGAAAAUGACUCUUGCAUCAUUUUCUGCUACUCUGCUGCACCCUAUCACUAAGGCCAUUAAAACUGUGGUUGAGUAUCUUACCAGAUUUUUGCUACCUUAAAAGUGAGACAAAUAACAGGUAAGUGAUGGCCUGGAAUGGCACAUAUAUUAGUUUAUAUUUACACAUCUGUUUUUUCAAACUGUUGUGUUCUUCUAUACUGAAAAUGCGCGGGACAGUUGGGCAGUCUUUACUCAAGGGCUACAUGAUUUUUUUUUAAUUAGGCUUUGUUCUGCGUCACCUUUACAGAUCAAAUUUUGACCUGAAAAACUGUUCCAAGGUUGGUGAACACUCCUAUUAAGCAAUGUUGUAUUUAUAUGUAUAUAUGGCAUACGUAUAACUCACUUGUGAAAAGCCUCUUCUUUUUCCAGCUGAAGUAGGUCCUGAUUAUUCCAUUCCAGAGUACAUAUCCAGUCUCAACAAUACAAACAUCAUAGAGACACUCUGAGCUGAAGAAGGUACAAGUUAGAAGUCCAAGCAUCAACCAAAAUAAAGAUAUUCAGGGAAAAAGUGGUUAGAAUGGCAGCCAGCCCUUUCCUCCAUGCCCAACAACCCAGUGAGAUUACAGCAUAAGGCAACAGGAUUCCUAUGUCUAUAUUCAUAGAAAAGUAAGAUUUGGAAGAAACUUACCAUCUUUUAAGGCUUGCACAGUAGUAAUGAGAGACAACUGAGUGAAACUGUGCGUGCAAGUUGUUUAGAGCUCUUGGAAUUUUGGUCAGUCUAAAUAGUUGUGCUCUUUUGUGAUCUAAGUAUAACAGCAUACGUGGUGAUCUCCAGUGGUUUUUAAGGUUUAAACAGAAAUCUCCUUGAAAUGAUGAACUGAAGUAAAACUAAGUCAAAGCAAUUUUGCAGUUUAUAUUUUAACGGAGUUGAUAAUAUGAGCACCACACUCUACUGAAACUUGUAAUACCCUGUUAAAUAUUUUAUCUUCCUCUGUUGUUCAAAAGCAUGGCAAAAAUUGCAAUACCAUAGUAUUCAAUUACUUCCCACUGAGUUUAACAAUCCUCACCCAUCAGCUCAGCCCUGUUAUAGAGCCUGGCAGCGGAUGAUUUUCACCAGAACACAUUAGUUAAAUGCUUUCAGUUAAUGCAUUUAAACCUUCAGUGAAAGCCUGGGCUCUUUGCUGAAAGCACAAACAGUAUCUUACAGGAGCGAGCUUAGUGCCAUCUCAUUAAUCAGUGUUUGCAUUACUGGCUUUUGUUCAAGAGCUUGUACACAGUGUCUCUCCUCAUUUUUGCUAUGCAAGGCAAAAAUAAGGAGUUUCAACAUCAUAAUGUGUUCAUCUUUUUUUUAUAUAUUGAGCCAGUUUUUGAACAGAAUCUGCUUUGUGCACCUCAGCCAGUUAUUCAGGCUGUUGGACAGGGGCACAGGCUGCUGAAAGUGUGUAUGUGCGCAACACUUCUGGAGCAAUGGCUGAGAAGGAAAGGUGCAAGCGCUAGAAAAUGUCAGCAGUUUGUGUCAGUUAGAAAAGGAAAGGUGGCUGAAAGCAGCCAGCCUGGCAGAACUUGCUUCAGUGAUAAAGACUUGAAUGAAAGCAUGUCUGUCAUUUUUAUGCUCAUCAGAUAAUUGCAUUUGGAAGCUGUGCUUAAUUUAGUGAGAAGGGAAAACAGGACGAGAAUCUGGGCACACUCUGCAUAUCUCUGUGUGGAUUUACUUUGGCCAUAAGGCUUGAGAAAGAGCCUUACCAAAAGAUCUGUUGUUUUGGCAAGUACACAAACAUAAUCUUAAAAUUAAUAACUUUUCUCAUGUUUAGUUUUUCAAGUAAGCUUCUGCCUCGAGGCUGUAUUCCAAAAUAUCAAGAUUUUUUUUUAAGCCUUCAUGUAGAGAUGGAAUAGAUAGAGGAAUAUUUCUGGUUACAGUCAUCAUGUUCUUCCUGCAAUGCAUUUCCAGAGUUUGAAAUACUAGGAAAAGUUUUAAGUUUCCUUUAGGUUCAUUUAAUUCUGGUAAGUUUUAGUAGCUUUUUACAGUUGGCAGUUACUGAAGCUGCAGCUCAUUUUCUCUAGCGCACUCCACGAAAUCAGCCUUUCAAAUCUGUGGGUGCUUUCUUUUCCACUGCUGUACCUCCUGCCAGCAAGUGCAGGUGACAAGUCAUUAAAUAUAAGAGAGUUGUUAGCAAAAAAAAAGUUAUUUAAUAAAAGACUUGUGUCUGACCUGCUUCCCCCAAACCAAUUAUGUCUCCCUGGCAACAGUCACAAGUGUGUGACAAAAUAGUCAAGACUUCUCUACAGAAAAAUUAAAAUACUUAAAAUGUCACUUUUCAAGGAAGCAUCCUAUUUUAUACUCAAACAGUUUUCAAAAGUGCAUAGCGUGCUGCUAUGAAGACACGCCUUUCAGUUCAGUAAAGCGUCAUCAGCUAAUGCAUCAAAGUCCACUCCUCACGACAAGCAGGGCCUGCUGCUGCACAGCCAUGAGAAUUAACGUGCUCACAGGUAGGUAUUUCUUCUGAAGUCAACUUUAGAGUAGCUCCAAUGUGGUAAUCACAAUGGCUUAGGCCACAAUUUCAUUCUAAUGUUCUUUCUACAAAGUCACCCUGAAGUACCUUCACAGUCCACCACAAAUAUUUUAAUACAUAACAAUACUAAAUAAAAUCAUGAGAUAGAUGAAUUUGCCACUCUGGUGUACUCUGUCAUUAGAUUGCAGCAUUAAAAAUCAUAGCCAAGAAAAGUAGGCGUUUUUACGUAGAAAAAUUCCAGUGGUCUUUUUCUGUAUGAUUUCAAUUACCACUACUCAACACUUCCAAGUUCUAUGAAAUUAAUAUCAACGGUUCUUCGCAGAAGUGGAAAUUCUGGUGAUCUAAAUGUGAGUCAGAAAUCCUAGUCACCAUUUCUAAACUUCUUGAAAAGUCUCCCAAAAGCCGUUUGAUAACAAGAUUGUCUGCAGCCAGUGUCUCAGCUCUACUGGAUAACUGUAGAGCUCACCGUGUUCAGCUGACAUUGCAGUUAGCAUCUCACUAUUACAUCCUGGGGGGGAGGGGAAGGAACCUAAUUUUACUUUGUUUGCUUUUCUGAUGGAAUUUACCAUAUAUGUGUAUUUGAAUUUUUUUUGUUCUUAGGAUUUAAGUUUUGGAUUCAUUUGAGUGCUGGGAUAAAGUUAUUCCGGGUUAUGAAGGCUAUGAUCACUGUGAUCUGCCAACUCCAACUACUGGAAGGAGGAGCAAAAGCAGCCCCGUCUGCAGGUACCUUACACAACAGCAACUGGAGGAGUUGUCUACGGAUCUUGCAUAGUGCUCAAGACCAGCCUAGAAAAAUGCAGUGAGUCCAACGCACGAGAAGUGGAACCACUCAAUAGGACACUGUUCGUUAUCACAUCCUAUCAUUUCGCCGUAAGACACUUGGUUACAUAAGCAGUAAGUUGGUUCAUUGGGAUCGAUUGCAAAUUCCAC